RNAcentral lists this long non-coding RNA (1091 nucleotides) under Parus major (Great Tit). RNAcentral describes it as "lncRNA (ENSPMJG00000018611.1)". The record is from RNAcentral. Lineage: Eukaryota; Metazoa; Chordata; Aves; Passeriformes; Paridae.
UCACAAUGUAAUUAAAAGACUCAAAUCCUUAUCUGACAUCUUUGCUGCGUGGUUUUGGUUAUUUGCCAUUUUAUAUAUAGUCUAGAGUCUCAACUUUCCUUUUGUAUGAUAGCUGAAAUACAUCUUUCUGUUGAAUAUCUUACUUUCUGUUUAGAGUCUGAUAAGUCUCAGCCAAGAUCAUUGUCUGUGUGUUUGGGUAGUAGGCAUACCUUGCUAUGUACGUCCCAUAUUGCUUGCAGUUCUUUGGAGGUUACAUGAUUAAACUGGCUGUAAUGUGAAUUAGUGUCUAUGUCACAGAAAUUCCCCAUGCAAUUAUCACCCCUUGGAAAUGCUGCAGUGCCAGGUUUAGUUCUGAUAACAAGAACUGGUGCUUCUGUGCCUCCUUUAAUCAUCCUCUUUUGUUUACACUCUUUUUGGAGAAGCGACUGAUCACAACUCCUGUAACAGUAGGUACACGCUGGCAGCAGAAGAAUGCAGAGCUUGUGGUGUUAUUCUGCUUCAUAAACCUGUGUCCUUGAAGUCUCCUGCAUCCCUGCCCUGUCAGACUGAUUUAUGCAGUAGCCAUGUUUGUCAAAGUAUUUGGCACCAGUGACAUCAUCUUUGUUGAAAUGCCGGACAGCGUGAUGAGUCCCAGAUGUUAAUGCACACCAAAAGCUGAGAAAGAAUGAAAUAUAAAGAUCAACUGUAACAGCUAUGGAGGACUGUACUCAGUUUGCAUCUGAUGAUGAAUGAUGCAUGAAGAAUAUGGGAUUUUUUCAAGGGUUCCUAAAGCUAAAGUGUUAAGGCUGUCACAGACCAUCCAUCCCGAGCAGCACUGCACCACAAUUCAAGAAAACCUCCUUCAACCAGCAUGCAAGCCUUCAUCAGAAGGCAAAACGCAAGUCUGAGAGGAUAAUAACUGAGACAUUCUUUUAAUAAGGACCAUUUUUAAAUGUUAAGAAUGACUUGUUUUAAUUGAAGGAGAGGAAAGGAACUCCUACCAAGAGUCAAAGAGAUCCCCCAGAGCUCUCUGAAAUCUUCAAAUUGUCUUGCAUAGCAAUUCCUGAAUAUCAGAAAUGAAUAAAGGUUAUAAAAUCUUUCUUAUAAAGCCA